CAGCCGCCACGGGAAUACGUAGGGUGCAAGCGUUAAUCGGAAUUACUGGGCGUAAAGCGUGCGCAGGCGGUUUGUUAAGACAGAUGUGAAAUCCCCGGGCUCAACCUGGGAACUGCAUUUGUGACUGGCAAGCUAGAGUGUGGCAGAGGGGGGUGGAAUUCCCGGUGUAGCGGUGAAAUGCGUAGAGAUCGGGAGGAACAUCAGUGGCGAAGGCAGCCAUCUGGGACAACACUGACGCUGAGGCACGAAAGCGUGGGGAGCAAACAGGAUUAGAUACCCGUGUAGUCCCUGUCUCUUAUAC
Molecule: ribosomal RNA, 301 nt
Filed under: uncultured bacterium
Lineage: Bacteria
Description: partial 16S ribosomal RNA
Rfam family: Bacterial small subunit ribosomal RNA
Source: RNAcentral